Molecule: ribosomal RNA, 301 nt
Filed under: uncultured bacterium
Lineage: Bacteria
Description: partial 16S ribosomal RNA
Rfam family: Bacterial small subunit ribosomal RNA
Source: RNAcentral
CAGUCGCCACGGUAAUACGGAGGGUGCAAGCGUUAAUCGGAAUUACUGGGCGUAAAGCGCACGCAGGCGGUCUGUCAAGUCGGAUGUGAAAUCCCCGGGCUCAACCUGGGAACUGCAUUCGAAACUGGCAGGCUAGAGUCUUGUAGAGGGGGGUAGAAUUCCAGGUGUAGCGGUGAAAUGCGUAGAGAUCUGGAGGAAUACCGGUGGCGAAGGCGGCCCCCUGGACAAAGACUGACGCUCAGGUGCGAAAGCGUGGGGAGCAAACAGGAUUAGAUACCCGCGUAGUCCCUGUCUCUUAUAC